RNAcentral lists this ribosomal RNA (468 nucleotides) under uncultured bacterium. RNAcentral's name for it is "partial 16S ribosomal RNA". It matches the Rfam family "Bacterial small subunit ribosomal RNA", at positions 28 to 507 of the family's 1533-position model. The record is from RNAcentral.
GACGAACGCUGGCGGCGUGCUUAACACAUGCAAGUCGAACGGAAAGGCCCUGCUUUUGUGGGGUGCUCGAGUGGCGAACGGGUGAGUAACACGUGAGUCACCUUCCCUUGACUUUGGGAUAACUUCAGGAAACUGGGGCUAAUACCGGAUAGGAGCUCCUGCUGCAUGGUGGGGUUUGGACAGUUUCGGCGGGUGUGGAUGGACUCGCGGCUUAUGAGCUUGUUGGUGGGGUAGUUGCUUACCAAGGCUUUGACGGGUAGCCGGCCUGAGAGGGUGACCGGCGACAAUGGGACUGAGAGACGGCGCAGACUGGUAUGGGAGGCAGCAGUGGGGAAUAUGGUACAAUGGGCGGAAGCGUGAUGCAGAAACGCCGCGUGCGGGAUGACGGCCUUCGGGGUGUAAACCGCUGUCGCCUGUGACGAAGCGGGAGUGACGGUAAUGGGUAAAGAAGCACCGGCUAACUACGUG